Molecule: non-coding RNA, 32 nt
Filed under: Mus musculus (house mouse)
Lineage: Eukaryota; Metazoa; Chordata; Mammalia; Rodentia; Muridae
Source: RNAcentral
UGAAACUGUGGCUAUGGAUCCCCUACAUCAAU